UACAGGGGGUGCAAACGUUGCUCGGAAUCACUGGGCGUAAAGGGUGCGUAGGCGGGUCUUUAAGUCAGGGGUGAAAUCCUGGAGCUCAACUCCAGAACUGCCUUUGAUACUGAGGAUCUUGAGUUCGGGAGAGGUGAGUGGAACUGCGAGUGUAGAGGUGAAAUUCGUAGAUAUUCGCAAGAACACCAGUGGCGAAGGCGGCUCACUGGCCCGAUACUGACGCUGAGGCACGAAAGCGUGGGGAGCAAACAGG
Molecule: ribosomal RNA, 253 nt
Filed under: uncultured bacterium
Lineage: Bacteria
Description: partial 16S ribosomal RNA
Rfam family: Bacterial small subunit ribosomal RNA
Source: RNAcentral